Molecule: long non-coding RNA, 1202 nt
Organism: Entelurus aequoreus (snake pipefish)
Lineage: Eukaryota; Metazoa; Chordata; Actinopteri; Syngnathiformes; Syngnathidae
Exons: 8
Source: RefSeq, a predicted model, not a curated record
UUAUUGAAUACAAUUCAAAUCAAGACAAAGAUUACUAAUUCAGUGGUGAUAUUUAAGUGGCCCUGGACCCUCUGUAGUGGAAAAGGGUAAGAACCCCUGAGGUAUAACAUGGUCAAGUUGACUUUUUGUUUCAUAUUGCAUACAGGCGCACCUUGAUGAGCAUGAACUUGUUCAUGGGCUGGUACCACUGCAACAGCAUCACACUGGACUCCAGCGCACAGCACAGGAAGUCGUCAACUGCAAGGAGGAACACAGGCGGUGAAACAUAACGACGUUCCCAUUUGUGGUUUUGUCUGCAAUGUGUGCUUUGUCCGUCAGGUUUGCGGUCACAUGUUUCACUGCACCAGCUUGGGCGGUUGGGUUCCUGCUUCAAGAUAGUAAUGCUGGAAAACUGAGAAAACCGCAGCCCAUUGAACGCUUUAGCGGAAAAGGAAACGAGCUGACAAACAGUGGAGGCCAGCGAGGGAAAGGCAUAAAUGGCAGCGGUGGGAUUUGAACCCACGCCUCCGAAGAGACUGGAGCCUUAAUCCAGCGCCUUAGACCGCUCGGCCACGCUACCCUGCAGAAGUGGACAACUAUGUGGAGAUUGUGGAGUGCUGAACCCGGAACAAGGUGAACGCAACAGGGGAAAGGCAUAAAUGGCAGCGGUGGGAUUUGAACCCACGCCUCCGAAGAGACUGGAGCCUUAAUCCAGCGCCUUAGACCGCUCGGCCACGCUACCCUGCAGAAGAGAACAGCCAUGUGGAGAUUGUGGAGUGUUGAACAAGGUGAACGCAACAGGGCCUCUGAGAGUAGAUCUGCUCCACUGCAACGUCCACAAUGUCCAUGUUUACAGGUUCCCCAUCCGACCCUCAUCAGGAUCUCAAAGUCCUCCUGGGGGUUCCUGGUGGAGAAAUCCUGUGUGGCUCCAUGUUGGACAUCCAUGCUGAAGAGCCCUUCACCGCUUGUUGCUGAUCUGGCCCUAAUAAAGUUGUUGGGUGAGGGCGAAACAGAAAAUAAUUGCACCCAGUAUGGCACUGCACUGCACACCGUAUCGUACUGCACGAUGCUUCAGAUCACCCUGCAUUGCACCCUGUAUGGCACUGCACGCUAAAUAUCAGGGAUGGCAGAAUGCGUCCUGAGAUAAAUACUCAUCAAAUGGAAACUGUGGACAAGCACAGCUGCUGCAGCUUCAAAAAGGUCACCUAACUAAAAGACACAAA